GCGGGCAUCUAACAAUCUAAUUUUUAUCCUUUACUUGGAGCUGUUACAAAGAAUCGCCAUAUUCUGACUGGCGGUAUGCUUGCCAUUAAAUGCUUCUUUGCUGACGACAAGGAUUACGCUGUCGUAAAAAAAAUGUUUUGGUGGAACUCAGCGCACUGCGCGAUGUACGCCACGAUAAUGUCGUCAAGUUGUUCCAUGUGUUUAUGGAAAAUUCCGUGUUUUAUGUGGUAUUUGAAUAACUCAGCAAAGCACUGCUGGACGUGAUCCACAAAGCUCCGAAGAAGGUCUGGGUUCGGGUCCGCACACCAAAUCUUUCCUGUCCAGCUGCUGCGCGCUGUAUCGUAUAUCCAUUUAAGGAAUGCAAAUUUCGAUUUCGUCACGAAGCAGGCGUAUAACGGCCAGCGGUCUUCCUCCUAUCUCGCCACAAGAUGGUAUCGCGCUCCUGAACUUUUGACAGGAGACUAUUGCAUGGAAAGGCUGUUGAUGUGUGGGCAACUGCAGCCGUCGCAGUGGAAAUGAUCAAAGGUCAAUCGAUGGCCUCCGGCACUGCGAUCGUCAUUUGCAUCCAAACCUAUUCUGCAGGCUCCACCGUCCGUGCGCAGUGAAUUUGACAUACUACUUCACCCACCGUGCUUCAGCAGUCUUUUCUUCAACAGGCUUUCUUGUCAAACUCGCAAAAUUCUGUAAUCUUAAGGUUUGAUAAAGCGCUUUAAUUUUGUUUCACAUUAUUUAUUAUGUAUGCACGAAUUCCAUGUGUAAUUGUUUAAUGGCACUAUUAUCACACGACUUUGGUUUCUUGAGAUGUGUCGCGCCGGAAAGCGAAAAGUACCAGUUGCAAAGCUUUGUAAUAAUGUUCCAUGGCUGAACAAGAAAAGCAGAAAAAUAACUAAAACCUCUUUGAAAUCUGAGAUUGACGAUUACGACGACUUCUACCCGGUUCACGAAAAGCGUGUUUGUCACAAAAUUCAGUCCAUAUAUCAGGAUGCGUGGAUGAAUUUUGUUCUUUCCACUUCCCGAUUCAUGCUAGAAAGUAUUCCUCUCGCAUGGACAGCUUACAAAAAUUUGAUAACAGAUCACGGAAUGCUGACCGCUCACGCCACUAGAACGAAAACUGAAAGUAACGCUUCGCACUCUACUGGCUCCAAUUGGGAGCUCUGGUUUUUGUGGGCCAGCCGCCGGCAGCGACUUCGGUUCCGCAUCUGCACUGCCCUACGGAAGUUGAGAUGACGCGGGUGCGCCACAUCCCUGGUUUCUGGCCCACUGCUGUGGAGGGGACCGCCCGCUAGGCAGCGCCAAAUAUUUCGUGAAUGGUCAUAUGUUGAUUUACUAAUUUCUGAAACGUUUCUACAUGGCUUGGCAGGGCUAUUUGCACAAGUUCGGACACUUUUUCCAAAUAAUUACCACAUGUUCCCCGUCUUGAAUUAAAGCCGUAUUACAUUUUUGCAUGAGCAACACAUGUGUUCAGCAACUUUUCCACUUAGGGUUUUUAUGCUUAAGGCAUUCCUCGAAUUACAGUGAGAUCGAAACCAUAACGGGCCAGCUUCGAAAUGCGACUCGACACACCUAUUGUGGGAUGGAUCUCCCAUUUCAUAAUUCGUAUAAAAAUUUCAAAGCUUUUCGAGUCCUGACUAGUUACUUUUAUCGUGUUCGCCAACCGAUUCUCUUGUGGAUGGUGUCUAACACGGCGCGACUGCUCUCAGGGCAUCGUGACCUUUGCACCCUUUCUGCGGGUACCGUCGAAAUGUAGGAGGACCUCUUUCGGGCCCUGGCCGUACUACCGUGGAAGGUUUUCCGCGCAUUCCGCAUGGGACCAAUCAAUGCAGCAAGUGGGGCCGGUUUCGGUGAAUGGGAAGCGCAUACGAAGAUGCGUUGUUUCAAGGAGUUGCUUCAAAGAUCAUGGCGCGCAUGGGAUUCGUAGUCGGUACAGGGUUGGGAAGCCGCGCGGAGGGUAGAAUAGAACCAGUGAUCGCCCAAGUUUAUCCACAAGGUCGCACACUUGAUUAUUGUAUGGAUCUCCGCGAACAGAAGGAACUUCCCAAGGUUGGCGAAAAGCUGCGGAAGGUCAACAAACAGAAGAAUGCACAGCUGAAGCCGAAUCCCAGUCCCAAAGCCGACGUAUUUUCCAUCAUCAAUGAACAGAUGAAACUUCAUCGCUGCAAUACCACUCCGCACGCCGACACACAGCCGGUCGACAAGAGUUCCAACAAGAUAAAAAAUGCCAAAGAACAAAAUGUUGAGCUAGUGAAACUUCAGGAUAAAAUCAGUUUUCUGGAAAAGGAACUGGUCCGGCUUCGAACUUCAUUUUCACGAAACCAGACAACUGACAAGAAAGCCGCAAGUAUGAUUGCUGAAAAGAUCUCUGGGAAAGAGCGAGAACUAACGUUGCUCCGGAGGAAACAGAAUACCAUAUUUCAAGAUCUCAAUAAGCAAAAGGAUAAAAAAUGCUUGAGCGUUUUUUGAAGCAAUCCUUUACAGAGUUUGUGUUCUCAAAAUUUGUCUGUGAUAGUUUUUUUAGAGCUGAGCAAACAUUUACCUGGUGUGAGUUUCGUUAUCGUUAGUGUACAAGCAGGUGUUACUCCUGACUGUAUUUUAUUUUGUUACGGUGUUACCCAUAAACUGUCAUGUGCUCAAGUGUUGUUACCUUUUGUACAAAAGGUAACUAUUUUUAAAGGUUACAUACAUAUUAUAGGCCGAAGAUUUCCG
Molecule: long non-coding RNA, 2703 nt
Organism: Paramacrobiotus metropolitanus
Lineage: Eukaryota; Metazoa; Tardigrada; Eutardigrada; Parachela; Macrobiotidae
Exons: 15
Source: RefSeq, a predicted model, not a curated record